AUGUUUUUUAUUUUUCGUUUUGAGAUAGGGCCUUGCUCUGUCUCCCAGGCUGGAGUGCAGUGGUGCAAUCAUGGCUCACAGCAUCCUCAAACUCCUGGGCUCAAGCAAUCCUCCCAAAUUUGGGAGGCCUUGACUUCCCAAAUUGUGGAUAUGUUUAAUCUGAAAAAAAAAAAAUACAAAUUAUUUCACUGCAACUUAAAAAAUUGAAAAUAUUUUAAAAUAUUAAUAAAUAUAAUACCUGUCAAAAUUCAUGGUAUGUAAUUAAAGGCAUGCUGAAUGAAAAAAUUUUAAUUUUAAAUACAUAUAUUAGAAAAGAAGAAAGAUUAAAGUUAAUGAAUUGUCUCAAGAAAUCAGAAAAAAACAGUAGAUGAAUCUUGAAGACAGUGGAAGAGGAGAACAGAAAUCAUAGAGAGACAAGCAAGAAAUCAAUGGUAGAUUUUAAAAAAUGAGAUAGAGGCAUCAAAACGAAAACGGGGUACUUUGGAAAGAGUAAUAAAACUGACAAACUCCUUCCUUCUGAGACUGAUGAAGAAAAAGUUUAAAAAGAGAGAAUGCAGAAAUACCUAAUAUUGGAAAUGAAAAGGUUAUAUUUCUACAGAUCCUAUGUUCCCAACUUUAUGCCAAUAAAUUUGAAAAAUAUGUAAAAUGAAUAAAGUCCUAGAAAAAUAGAACACUAAAACUAAUGCAAGAAGAAAUAGAAAUUAUAAAUAUUCUAAAUAAAUGUAUUGUAUUUGCCAGUCUUGUGAAAUAAAGUGCUAAUUUUGUCACCUUUCCUGGAGAAUAAAAUAGAAGAAAUAUGUCCAAGCUUACUUUAUUAGGUCAGUAUAAUUUUCAAAAUGAAAAUUUUUAAAGAAUAUUAAAGAAUGAAAAUUAUAGGCCAAUUCAUUUAUGAUGAUGAUAUGAAAGUCUGCAAAUUCAAUCAGAAAUUUGAAUCAGCCAAUAGAUAAAAAUAUUGACCUCAUUUGAUUUAUUUCAGAAAUAUGAGGUAGGUUUAAUAUUAGAAAAUCAGUCGUUGUAGUCUACAUUAACGGCAUAAAAGAGAAAAUGUUGUAAUCAUCCAAAUGAAUUCAGAAAAAGUGUUUGAUGAAACUUAAUGUUACUAAUGGUAAAAGCUCUUCUUUUAGAAUAAGACCUCCUUAAUCUCAUUUCAAAUACAAGAUAUUCUAAAACAAACUACAGCAAAUAUAAAAUUCAAUGGCAAAUAUUAAAAGCUUUCUGUUUGACAUAGAAAAUAAUGUAAGGGCACUACUUAUCAUUACUUUGAGUCAGCAUUUUCGUAUGGGUCCUAGCCAGUGCAAUAAAUCAAAAUAAAAUUAAAAUACAAUCAUUUGAAAGGAAAGAAAAUGUAUCAUUAAUGUACA
RNAcentral lists this long non-coding RNA (1361 nucleotides) under Papio anubis (olive baboon). RNAcentral's name for it is "lncRNA (ENSPANG00000042636.1)". Lineage: Eukaryota; Metazoa; Chordata; Mammalia; Primates; Cercopithecidae. The record is from RNAcentral.